This 87-nucleotide transfer RNA is filed under the name Alphaproteobacteria bacterium. RNAcentral describes it as "tRNA-Leu". It matches the Rfam family "tRNA". Rfam says of the family: Transfer RNA (tRNA) molecules are approximately 80 nucleotides in length. Their secondary structure includes four short double-helical elements and three loops (D, anti-codon, and T loops). Lineage: Bacteria; Pseudomonadati; Pseudomonadota; Alphaproteobacteria. RNAcentral also lists the same sequence under 1 other name. The record is from RNAcentral.
GCCCGGGUGGCGGAAUUGGUAGACGCGCUAGAUUCAGGUUCUAGUGACCGCAAGGUCGUGGAAGUUCGAGUCUUCUCUCGGGCACCA